CGCCACCUCAACUCAUCCUACGCCCAUUUGAAUUCAUGAGAAACGAGUUCUCAUGAAUUUUCUCCCAUGUAGAAGCCUUCCCACACCCUCCUAUGUGCACCAUUUUGAGUGGAUAAAGAUGGUUGGUUGGCCAUUCAAAUUCAAAUGAAGUUUGAAUUUGAAUGGACAACUAAUCUCAUGCGCCACCUUAUCCACUUGUGCGCCAC
RNAcentral lists this long non-coding RNA (206 nucleotides) under Elaeis guineensis (African oil palm). RNAcentral's name for it is "long non-coding RNA (EGUI_LNC050314)". The record is from RNAcentral. Lineage: Eukaryota; Viridiplantae; Streptophyta; Magnoliopsida; Arecales; Arecaceae.